AGGUCUUCGGAUGCUGACGAGUGGCGAACGGGUGAGUAAUACAUCGGAACGUGCCCAGUAAUGGGGGAUAGCUCGGCGAAAGCCGGAUUAAUACCGCAUACGCCCUGAGGGGGAAAGUGGGGGACCGCAAGGCCUCACGUUAUUGGAGCGGCCGAUGGCUGAUUAGCUAGUUGGUAGGGUAAAGGCCUACCAAGGCGACGAUCAGUAGCUGGUCUGAGAGGACGAUCAGCCACACUGGGACUGAGACACGGCCCAGACUCCUACGGGAGGCAGCAGUGGGGAAUUUUGGACAAUGGGGGAAACCCUGAUCCAGCAAUGCCGCGUGUGCGAAGAAGGCCUUCGGGUUGUAAAGCACUUUUGUCAGGGAAGAAAUCCUUUGGGCUAAUACCCUAGGGGGAUGACGGUACCUGAAGAAUAAGCACCGGCUAACUACGUGCCAGCAGCCGCGGUAAUACGUAGGGUGCAAGCGUUAAUCGGAAUUACUGGGCGUAAAGCGUGCGCAGGCGGUUGUGUAAGACAGGUGUGAAAUCCCCGGGCUUAACCUGGGAAUUGCAUUUGUGACUGCACGACUAGAGUGUGUCAGAGGGGGGUGGAAUUCCACGUGUAGCAGUGAAAUGCGUAGAUAUGUGGAGGAACACCAAUGGCGAAGGCAGCCCCCUGGGAUAACACU
This 670-nucleotide ribosomal RNA is filed under the name uncultured beta proteobacterium. RNAcentral's name for it is "bacterial SSU rRNA". It matches the Rfam family "Bacterial small subunit ribosomal RNA", at positions 74 to 741 of the family's 1533-position model. The record is from RNAcentral. Lineage: Bacteria; Pseudomonadati; Pseudomonadota; Betaproteobacteria.